RNAcentral lists this long non-coding RNA (653 nucleotides) under Androctonus crassicauda. Lineage: Eukaryota; Metazoa; Arthropoda; Arachnida; Scorpiones; Buthidae. The record is from RNAcentral.
AUAACUUAUAUUCCAUACUUUUAUAAUUAUUUAAAACUAUGAUAAUAAAUUUACUGCUUUUGCAGUUUUAAAUAUUUCGUACUAAUAACAAGUAACAUCGAAUUUGAAUGUCUUCAAGGACGAAGAUAUAGACUAUGCGUAACCGUUUAAAAAUUAAAUACUGUAUUAAUAUCAUUCAUUACUUUCAUUGUUACGUUAUCGUGACGUCAAUUAACAGUUUAUCAACAACCCUUGUUGCGUCAUCGUUACAAACAAUCAGCGCGUCUAUGACAUCAUUAGAUCACUCUGAAGGAUUUAAAUGAAGACAUUUUCGUUGCUAUGCCAAAGUGUUCGACCCUUGAUACGAUCUCGAUCCAGGAUAACGUAUGUUACUCGGAGGUCGAGAAAAAUCUCAAUGCACAGUUUGUUCCCAGGCCAACAGCAAACGAUGAUGAAACCUUUCCGGAACAGACAACAGAAAAGAUAAAAUAUUAUAUUUUAUAUAUACCGGUAAAUAAAGUACGUGUAUGUAUGUAUAUGUAUAUGUAUGUAUAUGUUUGUAUGUAUAUAUACGUAAAUUUAUUUUAACUUUAUUUCAUCAUUUUAAACUAAUUAUUUAUUUUUAAUCUGUCAUAUAGGGUUUAUAUUUUCCCUAAUAUUUAAUUAAAUAAAAC